UAGGGAAUUUUCGUCAAUGGGGGAACCCUGAACGAGCAAUGCCGCGUGUGUGAAGAAGGUCUUCGGAUCGUAAAGCACUGUUGUAAGUGAAGAAUGCCAUAUAGAGGAAAUGCUAUGUGGGUGACGGUAGCUUACCAGAAAGCCACGGCUAACUACGUGCCAGCAGCCGCGGUAAUACGUAGGUGGCAAGUGUUAUCCGGAAUCAUUGGGCGUAAAGGGUGCGUAGGUGGCACGAUAAGUCUGAAGUAAAAGGCAACAGCUCAACUGUUGUAUGCUUUGGAAACUGUCGAGCUAGAGUGCAGAAGAGGGCGAUGGAAUUCCAUGUGUAGCGGUAAAAUGCGUAGAUAUAUGGAGGAACACCAGUGGCGAAGGCGGUCGCCUGGUCUGUAACUGACGCUGAGGGCACGAAAGCAUGGGUAGCAAACAGGGAUUAGAUACCC
This 440-nucleotide ribosomal RNA is filed under the name uncultured bacterium. RNAcentral describes it as "bacterial SSU rRNA". It matches the Rfam family "Bacterial small subunit ribosomal RNA", at positions 355 to 787 of the family's 1533-position model. The record is from RNAcentral.